CUGUGAGCUACCAUGUGGUUGCUGGGAAUUGAACUCAGGACCAUCUAGAAGAACAGCCAUUUCCCAUUGUAAACCAGUACAUGGAGUUCACGUAUCAAUUCCAUGACCAUUGGACAAAAUGAGUCUUUGGAACUUCCAGCCCAGAGCCAAGACCAUGGUGUAGCAAGGAUCCAAAGCCAUGAUGAGUGCAUCUACACAUCCUCAACUACAGCGGCACCAUUUCCAAGCAGUUUUGACUGGCUUUUCUUUAUUGGUGUUUCGAACUUCCUUUUCCCUUUCAUGAAGCAUAUACUGAAAAUAAAGUAGGCAAACCACUAA
Mesocricetus auratus (golden hamster) is the source of this 318-nucleotide long non-coding RNA. RefSeq lists it as uncharacterized. Lineage: Eukaryota; Metazoa; Chordata; Mammalia; Rodentia; Cricetidae. The transcript has 2 exons. The record is from RefSeq and is a predicted model, not a curated record.